ACAGCCAUUCCUCAUGAAGAGAGCACAGCAUAUGUGAAUACUGAAUUAAACACCAAAGCAAGGACACCCUUUACAGCAGCAGCUUCAAUGUUUUGUGUGCCUGACAGAGAAGGGCCCAGUCCUGCAGCACGUGUUAUUUUCCCAGGGAGACACUCUUUCAGUGUAACUGGCACAAAAUGUUUCCUUUUUUAGUAACACACUAUUCUCUGACAAGACUCUGGAAAGUUCUGUGCAUUUACUUGAAAUAGAUUAGGGGCUAUGAUAAGGUCAGAUUAACAAAUAUAGAAUACCUGGUAAACUUUAUGAUGCUUUCAGGACAGUAGACAGAGCACUGAACAGGAAAAUAAUGAGGAAGAGCUAAGCCAGAACAGAAAAGCCAGAGACCAGAGUCAAGAGAAAAGAGAAUAAAGGGAUGAGAGGGACAAAGACAAGAAACACAGAAGGCAGUGGUAGAUUUAUUGCCUGGGUGAAAUGCAGACAGGAUGAUCUACGAACUGUUCCACACUGGACUUCUCUAGCUCUCUUUGCUGUUUAUUAUGUGCCAUAUUUUCCUUCAGAGACAGUCUGAACAUUUAUUACAUCAUCCUCUGAUCUUUCUAGGGGAAGUGGCUGACUUUGUGGUGGCAGCAAAAUUUAACAUCUUUAAUGGUGACCUUACACUGACCUCUUUGAUGUUUCCUUAUCCCAGUCUACAGGCAUUUGCUAAAAGGUCAAACACGGGAUCAAGCCAAAACAGAGAUGACAGCAAUACAAUAAGAAACCAAAGUACAAGAGAUCAAUAACCCUUUUGCAAUCAACAGUUACCUGGUCUGAGAAUCAAUAGGAGUCUCUUGUGCACGGGCAGGAAUCCCAACAAUACCAAUCCUUUUCUUUGUUCUUUAGUUGAAAGGCUGAUUGAUUGUUUACAGGAAGAGUUUAUAGUGCAGCUAACUUCAAUCACCUGCACCCAAAAGGCCUGCAAUCCCCCUCAGCAUGUCUAUGCAGGAGAUGUGUGAGGAAAAUAAAAUAGAUGAGCUCUGUUCA
Molecule: long non-coding RNA, 1023 nt
Filed under: Zonotrichia albicollis (white-throated sparrow)
Lineage: Eukaryota; Metazoa; Chordata; Aves; Passeriformes; Passerellidae
Description: lncRNA (ENSZALG00000012889.1)
Source: RNAcentral